RNAcentral lists this ribosomal RNA (532 nucleotides) under Bacillus sp. G911. Its description in RNAcentral is "bacterial SSU rRNA". It matches the Rfam family "Bacterial small subunit ribosomal RNA", at positions 1009 to 1533 of the family's 1533-position model. Lineage: Bacteria; Bacillati; Bacillota; Bacilli; Caryophanales; Bacillaceae. The record is from RNAcentral.
GGGGGGGACCAGGGAUUUCCAGGGUUGGNGGCAUGGUUUGUUCGUCAAGCUUCGGGGUUCGNAANAAUGUUUGGGUUAAGUCCCGCAACGAAGCGCAACCCUUGGUUCUAGUUGCCAGCAUUCAGUUGGGCCCUUUAGAGCGACUGCCGGCGACAAGUCGGAGGAAGGUGGGGAUGACGUCAAAUCAUCAUGCCCCUUAUGACCUGGGCUACACACGUGCUACAAUGGAUGGUACAAAGGGCAGCGAAGCGGCGACGCAUAAGCGAAUCCCAGAAAACCAUUCUCAGUUCGGAUUGCAGGCUGCAACUCGCCUGCAUGAAGCCGGAAUCGCUAGUAAUCGCGGAUCAGCAUGCCGCGGUGAAUACGUUCCCGGGCCUUGUACACACCGCCCGUCACACCACGAGAGUUUGUAACACCCGAAGUCGGUGAGGUAACCGCAAGGAGCCAGCCGCCGAAGGAAGAACAGAUGAUUGGGGUGAAGUCGUACCGANGUACCANGUCGGUNCNNUNNCCGUNGAAANCCUNCCCCCUU